Molecule: long non-coding RNA, 807 nt
Filed under: Gossypium barbadense (sea-island cotton)
Lineage: Eukaryota; Viridiplantae; Streptophyta; Magnoliopsida; Malvales; Malvaceae
Description: long non-coding RNA (GBAR_LNC017051)
Source: RNAcentral
AGUUUCUUAAUACAAAAUACAUUUCAUUCUAUUUCUUUUCAAUCAAUACUUUUAGGUUUAAGUUUACCGUAGGUGUUAACACAUACCAUCAGCGUUUGCUGCAGAGGCUCUCCCUUGUGUUCAGGCGAUUCAGUUCGGGGCAGAGUUAGGUUUCUUAAGAAGUGACAUUGAAGGUGAUGCUUUGUCAGUUAUCAAGAAGAUUCAAAGUGAGGAAGAUGACAGAUCUGAAAUUAGGGCUUACACUUUAGAUGCUAAAAGACUAAAAAGUUACUUCAUUUCUUGUUGAUUUAGACAUGCAUGGAGACAAAUGAACAAAGUGGCACAUCUAUUAGCAAAAGAAGGACUCGGUAUGGAAGAAUAUGCUUAUCUGAGGAACGACCUUCCCAAAUCUGUUGCCCAGGCUGGUGAGGAAAAUAGACGCGAUGGAAGAAGUGCACAACUGAUGAGUUCAAGUUGGAACCAAGGAAUCAUCGACCAUGUGAUAGGAAAAUGUUAAAAUGGAAUGCUCAUGUAAUGUGUUUUGACGAUUGGGGAAAAGGAAAGUUAGACAGUGAAGAUAUUUUGGUUCAGCUUGCUCAAACAUCAGAGCAACUAAUUAGCGAGUAAAAUCGCUCUUUGAAGGGAUAUCUAAGUCAUAGGUGUUUUCUUGGUUUUUGUUGAUGAGUCUCUCUGGAAAUGAAAUGCCAAAGAUGGAAGAAGAAGAAGAAGAAGAGGAAGAAAGGGAUUCGUCAAUGAAAGAUGAAUGGUUGUUGAUUGAUUUUUAGGGGUUUGUUAGGAAAUUUGAUUGUUUUAGGGGUUUUGUUUUUA